Molecule: non-coding RNA, 1098 nt
Organism: Rattus norvegicus (Norway rat)
Lineage: Eukaryota; Metazoa; Chordata; Mammalia; Rodentia; Muridae
Source: RefSeq, a predicted model, not a curated record
CUCUUGAGUUUCAGUUCAGUGUGUAUAUCUUGAGUUUCAGUUCAGUGUGUAUAUAAGGAAUACGUCUUUUCCAAUAAAGGGGCAUUUGGUUCACCUACCAGAUCACUCCAUGUUUUUCUUUACAAUCCGCAGGCCCUCGACGACUCGGGGUAACAGGUUAACUGUACAGGCAUAGCUGACAAGUGGAGGUUCCACCGAGAUCGGAAAGAAGGGAAAAGCUGACAGACCACUCCUGGGCGCGCCAAAGAAAAGGAGUGAAUUGAUGGAGCACAAAGAAAGUGGCUUUACUUCAAGAACAAAUGGACUUUCUCUUUGCUACACGACAUAUUAUCUGUUCCCCCCAUUUCAUAACAAGUGUUGGCACUGAAUAAGAUUUUGACUUCCUUAUGGAAUGACUCUUAUUUUAAUCUUACCCGGAAGUUGCUUCAUCAAAUUGUGUUAAUUAAUGAGACUCGGGUGGACCCUCUGGAUGGCACUGGGUUCUUGUCCCUAGUCCAGCAAAUGGGGACCUUGGUAAAAGAAUGGGCAGGAGUGGCAGCCUUUCUGGGCAUUUUGCUAGUAGUAGCAUGUGGCAUUGUUUGGUGCCUUUGCCGGCUGAGAAGACAACAGAUUCAUUCCCAGGAAGUAGUGUGAGGAUUGGUCCUCAUGCAGAAGCAUGAUGCCCCCCCAGCUGAGGUUUGGCUAUUCAUACUUGAUAGGCACUGAUCGAAGACGGGCAACUUCCCUGACCCUUGGAUCAACCUAAGACAUGGGCCUUGAGAAUAAUAAGGUUACUCAAUGACCAAUGACGGGUAACACCAAGGAUGUGUUAGGGUUGAUCCUAAGACAGAUGGUGUCUUUUUAUUAAAGAAAAAAGGGUGAAUUGUGACCACCCGGGGCUUUUGGCCUUGAGUAAACAGGAUAUGGCCCUCACUGCCUGACUGCCUGCGCUGUUGGUCUCCACUCCCCCACCCUGCUGCCUUCCUGUAAAUAGCCCACAGCUGGGAAAUAGUAACUUACCCCAUUGGUCCACCCUGGUUUGGUGAUCUCUUGAGUUUCAGUUCAGUGUGUACAUAAGGAACAUGUCUUUUCCAAUAAAGGGACAUUUGGUUCACCUAC